UACAGAGGGUGCUAACGUUGUUCGGAAUCACUGGGCGUAAAGCGCACGUAGGCGGCUUGGUAAGUGCGGUGUGAAAGCCCCCGGCCUAACCGGGGAACUGCAUCGCAGACUGCCAGGCUCGAGAGCGGGAGGGGAGACUGGAACUCCUGGUGGAGCGGUGAAAUGCGUAGAUAUCAGGAGGAACACCGGUGGUGAAAACGAGUCUCUGGUCCGCUUCUGACGCUCAGGUGCGAAAGCUAGGGGAGCAAACGGG
Molecule: ribosomal RNA, 253 nt
Filed under: uncultured bacterium
Lineage: Bacteria
Description: partial 16S ribosomal RNA
Rfam family: Bacterial small subunit ribosomal RNA
Source: RNAcentral